GACGAACGCUGGCGGCGUGCUUAACACAUGCAAGUCGAACGGAAAGGCCCUGCUUUUGUGGGGUGCUCGAUUGGCGAACGGGGGAGUAACACGUGAGUAACCUGCCCUUGACUUUGGGAUAACUUCAGGAAACUGGGGCUAAUACCGCAUAGGAUCUCCUGCUGCGUGGGGGGGGUUGGAAAGUGUCGGCGGUGGGGGCUGUACUCGCGGCUUCUCGGCUUGUUGGUGGGGUAGUGGCUUACCAAGUCUUUGACGGGUAGCCGGCCUGAGAGGGUGACCGGCCUCAAUGGGACUGCGGUACGGCCCAGACUCCUACCGGAGGCAGCAGUGGGGAAUAUUGCACAAUGGGCGGACGCCUGAUGCGGCAGCGCCGCGUGCGGGAUGCCGUCCUUCGGGUUGUAAACCGAUUUCGCCUGUGACGAAGCGUGAGUGACGGUAAUGGGUAAAGAAGCACCGGCUAACUACGUG
Molecule: ribosomal RNA, 468 nt
Filed under: uncultured bacterium
Lineage: Bacteria
Description: partial 16S ribosomal RNA
Rfam family: Bacterial small subunit ribosomal RNA
Source: RNAcentral